ACGCUCGACACCUACGGGAGGAGCAGUGGGGAAUAUUGCACAAUGGGGGAAACCCUGAUGCAGCGACGCCGCGUGAGCGAAGAAGUAUCUCGGUAUGUAAAGCUCUAUCAGCAGGGAAGAAGAUGACGGUACCUGACUAAGAAGCACCGGCUAAAUACGUGCCAGUAGCCGCGGUAAUCUGAGCGGGCUGGCAAGGC
Molecule: ribosomal RNA, 197 nt
Filed under: uncultured bacterium
Lineage: Bacteria
Description: partial 16S ribosomal RNA
Rfam family: Bacterial small subunit ribosomal RNA
Source: RNAcentral